Molecule: long non-coding RNA, 654 nt
Organism: Tarenaya hassleriana
Lineage: Eukaryota; Viridiplantae; Streptophyta; Magnoliopsida; Brassicales; Cleomaceae
Exons: 5
Source: RefSeq, a predicted model, not a curated record
AUUCGAAGGAAGCGGGCCUGCGACAUAUGUUCACCCACACUCGGGUAUCUCUCUCUCGUUCGAGGAACAGAUGGUGGUGGGAGACAUGGAAUGCGUCUCGCUAAGGAGCCAUAGGAGUUUGUGAAGUUGCUACAGGUUCUUGCCGAUAUAUAUGGCAAUGUUGUUCAUUUUGGUGAGCGUGACUGCACUGCAGUAUCCAGAGACGUAACCAAAAGCUUUGGGUACGGUGGAGUUUCUUUUGAACGAGAGAGGUUCCUUCUAUUUCAUGGAAAUGAAUUUGGGAGUUUCCAUGAUCCUCGACGUUUGAGGAUUUCAGAAACGUGGAAGUUGAUACGGUUUUCAUUGUGAAGCACGAAGAGGAGUUAGCAGCUGCAAGUACACCCUCCCUGACAUCAAAUUCCGAAUGUGGGUUUAAUAUAUAUAUAUAUGGUCGAAUCAUAGUGAUUCUAACGUUGGAAUGUUCUGUGUGGAAUGUGGAUGCAGCCUCAAGACAUCAAACUCAGCUGCUGCUGAGAAGCAAAUGACGGAAAAUGCCAUUUUUUUGGUUAAGUCCUUUUUGUGUUUCUGUGUUAGCAUUUUGCAGAGUCUCUGAACAAAAAUAGGAUGUUUCUGUUUUUUUUACAUUCGCUUUGGGAACUUUGUCCGCUGGUUUUG